RNAcentral lists this unclassified non-coding RNA (307 nucleotides) under Russula sp. Its description in RNAcentral is "partial contains 5.8S ribosomal RNA, internal transcribed spacer 2, and large subunit ribosomal RNA". The record is from RNAcentral. Lineage: Eukaryota; Fungi; Basidiomycota; Agaricomycetes; Russulales; Russulaceae.
AACGCAAGUUGCGCCCGAGGCCUCCUGGUCGAGGGCACGCCUGCCUGGGUGUCACGCAUCGUCGCCCCCACUCCCCUCGGCUCACGAGGGCGGGGGCGGAUACUGGUCUCCCGCGCGCUCCCGCCCGUGGUUGGCCUAAAAUCGAGUCCUCGGCGACGGUCGCCACGACAAGCGGUGGUUGAGAGACCCUCGGACACGGUCGUGCGCGUGCUUGUCGCCCCCGGGACCUCCCGGACCCCCGAGCAUUGGCUUUCAAGGAUGCUCUCGUUGCGACCCCAGGUCAGGCGGGACUACCCGCUGAGUUUAA